GGGGACGUAACAAAGCGACCCAGGAAUGCUUGGGCGUGCCUCCACCCACGCCGGCGUCGGCGGGCGUAUUUCGCCUCACAGUAGGUCGCCGCGACCCGUUGCUUUUGGGGACGUCGAAGGCCCGGACGGAUUGGUACCCUACCGGCUGGGGAUGCGGCUUCGGCUUCUCCUCUUGUCCGGUGGGCGAAACCGCCGGUGUCCUGGCUGCCCUGCGACGGUCGUAGAGACGAGCCCUCCCCCCAUUCGUGGGGGGGGCGGCUCUCGCGGCGUGCAAAAGGUCGGUGAUCCACCCGACCCGUCUUGAAACACGGACCAAGGAGUCUAACAUGUGUGCGAGUCAGUGGGCGCACUAAACCCAGAGGCGUAAUGAAAGUGACACGGGUUCGGCUGUCGCCUCGUGUGGCAGCCGGACUCAGGGCCGAUCCCUCACCGGUUGCCCUCGCCUCUCUCUUCCGCGUCUCGGUACGCCGGGUGAGCUAUUUUCCCCGGCCAAUGCUGCGGCUCGGGGGGAGGCGGGGUGCGAUGGUGUCCGUAAAAAAGAGCCUGCUGUUGCAGGGGGGCGCAGGCCCGGGACUUGCCAGGACGCCGCGAGACUGUCACUUUGCUGUGAGGCUCCAGGGCCGAUCAGCGGGUCAUGCGUGCAGUCGGCAAGUACCAUGAGCAGACAUGUUGGGACCCGAAAGAUGGUGAACUAUGCCUGGCCAGGAUGAAGCCAGAGGAAACUCUGGUGGAGGUCCGUAGCGAUUCUGACGUGCA
This 756-nucleotide ribosomal RNA is filed under the name Lacunicambarus diogenes. Its description in RNAcentral is "partial 28S ribosomal RNA". The stretch from base 312 to 756 matches the Rfam family "Eukaryotic large subunit ribosomal RNA", at positions 665 to 895 of the family's 3401-position model. Lineage: Eukaryota; Metazoa; Arthropoda; Malacostraca; Decapoda; Cambaridae. The record is from RNAcentral.